UGAGGAAUAUUGCGCAAUGGGCGAAAGCCUGACGCAGCGACGCCGCGUGGAGGAUGAAGGUCUUAGGAUUGUAAACUUCUGUUAAGUGGGAAGAAAAGCAUAGCUCUAAUACAGUUAUGUCAUGACGGUACCAUUAGAGAAAGCACCGGCUAAACUCGUGCCAGCAGCCGCGGUAAUACGAGUGGUGCAAGCGUUAUUCGGAAUAAUUGGGCGUAAAGGGUGCGCAGGCGGCAAAUUAAGUCUAUUGUUAAAUCUCUCGGCCUAACCGAGAACAUGCGAUAGAUACUGGUUAGCUAGAGAUUGGAAGAGAGAAGUGGAAUUCUUGGAGUAGCGGUAAAAUGCGUAGAUCUCAAGAGGAACACCAAUGGCGAAGGCAGCUUCCUGGUCCAUUUCUGACGCUCAUGCACGAAAGCGUGGGGAGCAAACAGG
This 429-nucleotide ribosomal RNA is filed under the name uncultured bacterium. RNAcentral's name for it is "bacterial SSU rRNA". It matches the Rfam family "Bacterial small subunit ribosomal RNA", at positions 355 to 776 of the family's 1533-position model. The record is from RNAcentral.